CAAGCACUACAAGAAAGAAUCAAUCAAGGGUCAACAACUUCGUAUUUUUUUCAAUAAAUUGGAACAAACAAAUUGGAAUAAACAUUUAAUUGGGGUGUUUGAAGCUCGAGUUGUCAGUCAACUUGUCUAGAGCUUUCACUAAAACCUUGGCUGUUUCUCUUCAUCUUUCCCAUUUCCAUUUCUCGCGUGUUCUGGCCUUCACUGCUUGAGCCAGAAGGAUUCAAACCAUAUUCACUAGUUGGUCCACUGUAUUCACUACUGGCACCAUACUCUUGGCUUCCCAAUGCCAUCUUCCUGAAUUUUUUAAUGUCCUCAUUGUAUUGGUUGGUGUCGUAGUCUGAACUACCAUAGCUGUAGACACUGCUGUGACCAGGUCUAAUUCCUUCAUUAAGAUCAGAGAGAGCCACGUCUCCUUCC
RNAcentral lists this unclassified non-coding RNA (417 nucleotides) under Hevea brasiliensis (rubber tree). Lineage: Eukaryota; Viridiplantae; Streptophyta; Magnoliopsida; Malpighiales; Euphorbiaceae. The record is from RNAcentral.